AGAAAUCCCUCAUCCACCAUUCCAGAAGUGCCUCUCAAUCUGCCUGUGCUUUUAAUCCCUAUGCAUAUUGCCUCUCUAUUUGAUAUCUAAAUAAUGGCCUAUAAAUAUUUAUUGGCAGCCAUGAAAGUCCACUGUUUGAUUUCAUUGAGAGCUGCUUGCGAAAUAAACAUGAAAUGGUUAUUUAUGAAGCUGCUUCAGCUAUCAUCCAUCUUCCUAACUGCACUGCAAGAGAGUUGGCACCUGCUGUUUCAGUUCUUCAGCUUUUCUGUAGUUCUCCUAAGCCAGCCUUGAGAUAUGCAGCUGUGAGGACCUUGAACAAGGUGGCAAUGAAGCACCCCUCUGCUGUUACUGCCUGCAAUCUGGACUUAGAAAACUUAAUCACAGACUCAAACAGAAGCAUUGCUACCUUAGCCAUUACUACACUCCUCAAAACAGGAAGUGAGAGCAGUGUGGACCGGCUCAUGAAGCAGAUAUCUUCUUUUGUGUCUGAAAUCUCAGAUGAGUUCAAGGUGGUGGUUGUACAGGCAAUUAGUGCUCUCUGUCAGAAAUACCCUCGAAAGCACAGUGUCAUGAUGACUUUCCUCUCCAACAUGCUCCGAGAUGAUGGAGGCUUUGAGUACAAGCGGGCCAUUGUGGACUGCAUAAUCAGCAUUGUGGAAGAGAACCCUGAGAGUAAAGAAGCAGGCCUAGCCCACCUUUGUGAAUUCAUUGAGGACUGUGAACACACUGUUCUGGCUACUAAGAUUCUACACUUGUUGGGCAAAGAGGGCCCUAGAACGCCUGUCCCCUCCAAAUAUAUCCGUUUUAUUUUUAAUAGGGUUGUCCUGGAGAAUGAGGCUGUCAGAGCUGCUGCUGUGAGUGCUUUGGCUAAAUUUGGGGCUCAGAAUGAGAGUCUUCUCCCAAGCAUCCUUGUACUCUUACAGAGGUGUAUGAUGGAUACUGAUGACGAGGUACGAGACAGAGCUACCUUCUAUCUGAAUGUGCUGCAGCAGAGGCAGAUGGCACUAAAUGCCACGUAUAUCUUUAAUGGUUUGACGGUCUCUGUACCAGGGAUGGAAAAAGCCUUACACCAGUACACGUUGGAGCCUUCAGAAAAACCGUUUGACAUGAAAUCAAUUCCUCUUGCUAUGGCUCCUGUCUUUGAACAGAAAGCAGAAAUCACACUUGUGGCUACUAAGCCAGAGAAGUUGGCUCCUUCCAGGCAAGACAUUUUCCAAGAACAAUUGGCUGCCAUUCCUGAGUUUCUGAAUAUAGGACCCUUGUUCAAGUCUUCUGAGCCUGUUCAACUUACAGAAGCAGAGACAGAAUAUUUUGUUCGAUGUAUCAAGCACAUGUUUACCAAUCACAUCGUGUUCCAGUUUGACUGCACCAACACUCUCAAUGACCAGCUGCUGGAAAAAGUGACAGUGCAGAUGGAGCCAUCAGAUUCCUAUGAAGUGCUGUCUUGUAUCCCAGCCCCCAGCCUUCCUUAUAACCAACCAGGAAUAUGUUACACUCUUGUUCGUUUGCCUGAUGAUGACCCUACAGCAGUUGCAGGCUCCUUUAGCUGCACCAUGAAGUUUACAGUCCGGGACUGUGACCCUAACACUGGAGUUCCAGAUGAGGAUGGGUAUGAUGAUGACUGGAAGAUCUCGAAGUGACUGUGUCUGACCAUAUUCAGAAAGUACUGAAGCCUAACUUUGCUGCUGCUUGGGAAGAGGUGGGAGAUACCUUUGAGAAAGAGGAAACCUUUGCCCUCAGUUCUACCAAAACCCUUGAAGAGGCUGUCAACAAUAUCAUCACAUUUCUGGGCAUGCAGCCAUGUGAGAGGUCCGAUAAAGUACCUGAGAACAAGAAUUCCCAUUCGCUCUAUCUGGCAGGUAUAUUCAGAGGUGGCUAUGAUUUAUUGGUGAGGUCCAGGCUGGCCUUAGCCGAUGGAGUGACCAUGCAGGUGACUGUCAGAAGUAAAGAGAGAACACCUGUAGAUGUUAUCUUAGCUUCUGUUGGAUAAAUGCUUACUGGACAAGAGGAAACUGAUGCACACUACAUGGUCAGUGGGCUUUUAGGCUAGUGGCAUCAGUUUCCCAGAAUCAGACUUUUGAAGAUGAAUGACUUUGGAGAAGUAAAUUAAACAUUUGGCCCUGAGCCAGCAGAUCAAGCAAA
This 2142-nucleotide small RNA is filed under the name Pan troglodytes (chimpanzee). RNAcentral describes it as "retained intron". Lineage: Eukaryota; Metazoa; Chordata; Mammalia; Primates; Hominidae. The record is from RNAcentral.